CCUACGGGUGGCAGCAGUGGGGAAUAUUGGACAAUGGGCGAAAGCCUGAUCCAGCCAUGCCGCGUGUGUGAAGAAGGCCUUCGGGUUGUAAAGCACUUUCAGUGGGGAAGAAAGCCUUGGGGCUAAUACCCUCGAGGAAGGACAUCACCCACAGAAGAAGCACCGGCUAACUCCGUGCCAGCAGCCGCGGUAAUACGGAGGGUGCAAGCGUUAAUCGGAAUUACUGGGCGUAAAGCGCGCGUAGGCGGUCUGAUAAGCCGGUUGUGAAAGCCCCGGGCUCAACCUGGGAACGGCAUCCGGAACUGUCAGGCUAGAGUGCAGGAGAGGAAGGUAGAAUUCCCGGUGUAGCGGUGAAAUGCGUAGAGAUCGGGAGGAAUACCAGUGGCGAAGGCGGCCUUCUGGACUGACACUGACGCUGAGGUGCGAAAGCGUGGGUAGCAAACAGGAUUAGAUACCCUAGUAGUC
Molecule: ribosomal RNA, 465 nt
Filed under: Vreelandella stevensii
Lineage: Bacteria; Pseudomonadati; Pseudomonadota; Gammaproteobacteria; Oceanospirillales; Halomonadaceae
Description: partial 16S ribosomal RNA
Rfam family: Bacterial small subunit ribosomal RNA
Source: RNAcentral